Triticum aestivum (bread wheat) is the source of this 1777-nucleotide long non-coding RNA. RefSeq lists it as uncharacterized. The transcript has 8 exons. The record is from RefSeq and is a predicted model, not a curated record. Lineage: Eukaryota; Viridiplantae; Streptophyta; Magnoliopsida; Poales; Poaceae.
ACCCUAGCCGCCUCCUCUCCUCUCCCCUUCCCAGCCGCUCGCCCGCCCGGCCGUCUCGCUCGCCGCCGCCUCCUCUCCUCCCCCGCGCCCCGCUCCUCCCACCUCGACGCCGCCUCCUCUCCCCUCCCGCGCCCCCUCGCCCUGCCCAUCCAAGCUCAGGGUCGAGGGGCGGGCCGGGUCCAGGCGCGGCGGCUCGAUGGUGAGCGCGAUGGAUCUCGAGCUAGCUCGGGCGCGUGGACACGUUGGUGAGCGCGCCAGCGGCCGUGGCGAGCUCGAGCCCGGGAUAAACCUAGCAUCAUGGUCGCCAUGGACGCCGGCGCUGCACCUGCGCCGCUGGUUGGUCCUCUCCGACACCGUCCGGGCCCUCCUGCACUGCAUCACCCUCCUACCGCGCCUACUAGACCUACAGGCCCCUCUCCCCCCUUCUCCUCCUAAAGCUAGAGAUUUCAGGUCGCUUGGGCGUGGAAUAGAAAACCAGAUGGAUUUCUUUUGGUGUUCAUGGAGAGGCAGAUCUGGCUUUACUUUUGUCUUCUCAUGUGUGUUGUUCUUCAAUUUUGCAGGAAGUGCUCAUGUAUCAAAUUCCAGUUGUUACUCAACCUGUAGUGGAUUCCAUUUGCUGAAGAUAUCUUCCAUUGUCACCAGUGCAUCCUUCUAUCUGGCCUUCACGGAUCAGUGGUGCUGCUGUGUGAAUUUGUGCCGCUGUGUCGAAUUGGGCGGAGGCUUCCCUGUCAAGAAGAAGAGAAGCGUUGGGCACUUCAGUGCAGGCAAGGUGGUUGCCCAUGUCCUGGAGGCUAAGAUGUUGGCUUUUGUAGCAGCAGAUUCCCUAUGUAUCUAUCAAGAUGGGAUAUUCAGGUCGCUCUGCGUAGUGGGUGCCUCAUCAUUUACAGGAAAGUUAUUAAUUCUAGGAAGCGAUUGCGUGCUGAUGUAGGACUUGAUGAAGGAGAGGUAUGUCCCAAGUGAACUGGAUUAUUAUGAUGAUUUCGUCGAUUCAUACUCCUUUUUAUCCUGAAAUAAAUGGCUUUCACCUUUGGGCAGUUCAAGUGAUGGAAGAUAUUGUUUCAAUGAUAUUGAAGCUAUUUUUAGAUACUAUGGCAGUUAAGGUUCAUUUGAAGUCGCGGAUGGAUGCAUGAUUUAUGCAGAAAUGUAUAAGUGCCAUGUAGUGGUUAAUUAGAGGUGUUCUUCGACUAAAAUCAGGCUGCUCCUGCCAUGUCUACCAGUGAAAUGCCUCCUUCCAUGAUAAAGCAGCCUACUCUUAGGUACAGAUCUUGGUGUUGAUUCUGCCUCACCUUUCCAGCCGGCAGUGGUUCGGUUUGCUGUAGGUUUCCUCGGUGUUCAGGUACUUCAUGGCAGCGCUGUGGACAUCCAUCACCAUAACCACAUUGAUGGUCCAAGCCCCAACUCACGACAUCAUUUUUAGUUGGGUUGUGAGCACCUCGACAACUCAACAACAAAUAUACUUGAUGUGUAGCCGCAUAUACUACAUCAUCACCGACAUCAUUUCUAUGACAUGCUCAAAGUGAUGUAAUUAACCAAACCAUUACUGUUAUUAGUGCUUAGUUCCUCCUAUAUCUUUGAGAAAUUCUAAUGAUGGAAUGAAUGGACUAUAUUUCCUUCAAUCAGUGGAAUAUAUAUUGUGUAACCAGUAGUGGACUGGGUGGUGCUACCAUCAUGCUUUGCUAUUCAUGUAACAACCUGAAUCGAAUAUGAAUCGCGUUCUACCAAGUUGGAUACAAUGUCACUGCAUUGUAAAUUAGUUAUUAUGUGCUGCAAUUCUUCA